GGAUUAGAAACCCGGGUAGUCCAUGCCGUAAACGUUGGGCACUAGGUGUGGGGAACAUUCCACGUUUUCCGCGCCGUAGCUAACGCAUUAAGUGCCCCGCCUGGGGAGUACGGCCGCAAGGCUAAAACUCAAAGAAAUUGACGGGGGCCCGCACAAGCGGCGGAGCAUGCGGAUUAAUUCGAUGCAACGCGAAGAGCCUUACCAAGGCUUGACAUAUACUAGACCGCCUCAGAGAUGGGGUUUCCCUUCGGGGCUGGUAUACAGGUGGUGCAUGGUUGUCGUCAGCUCGUGUCGUGAGAUGUUGGGUUAAGUCCCGCAACGAGCGCAACCCUCGUUCUAUGUUGCCAGCACGUAAUGGUGGGGACUCAUAGGAGACUGCCGGGG
RNAcentral lists this ribosomal RNA (384 nucleotides) under uncultured bacterium. Its description in RNAcentral is "bacterial SSU rRNA". It matches the Rfam family "Bacterial small subunit ribosomal RNA", at positions 775 to 1157 of the family's 1533-position model. The record is from RNAcentral.